AUACGUAGGUGGCAAGCGUUGUCCGGAAUUACUGGGUGUAAAGGGAGCGUAGGCGGGAAUGCAAGUUGAAUGUUAAAACUAUGGGCUUAACCCAUAUCUGCGUUCAAAACUGUAUUUCUUGAGUGAAGUAGAGGUAGGCGGAAUUCCUAGUGUAGCGGUGAAAUGCGUAAAUAUUAGGAGGAACACCAGUGGCGAAGGCGGCUUGCUGGACAAAUACUGACGCUGAGGUGCGAAAGCGUGGGGAGC
This 246-nucleotide ribosomal RNA is filed under the name uncultured bacterium. RNAcentral's name for it is "partial 16S ribosomal RNA". It matches the Rfam family "Bacterial small subunit ribosomal RNA", at positions 523 to 769 of the family's 1533-position model. The record is from RNAcentral.